UAACUAGAAGGCCUGGUGCGUUCCUCCAGUGGACACACCACAAAGAGCCGGUUACAUUUGGGCACAAGACAGCUCUGCUGCCCAGCGGAGGACCUUCCUAUGUAGUUCAGGCUGGCCUUGAACUCACAGCAAUCCUCCUGUCUCAGCCUCCUGAGUGUUGUGGCCUCCUGCUCCCAGGCUGUGCAAGCUGCAGGGUGGGCCAGCCCACCAAGAUGGGGUCGAUAACUGGGAAGAAAGGGUACCACCCAGCUCCACCAGGGUCCCCUGGGAUCUGUGCCCCAGGAAUGGAGUGGGUCCCCUCAUGCCUGUGUGCCCCGGAGGACUGAGGGAUGGUCUCAGCUUUCAGUCUCCCAGGGUGACCACCCAGAUGCACUUCGUCCCCCUGGAGCAUCAUCCUGAGGAGAGUUAGAGACCAUGUGUAUGACACCUCCACUUGGGUCCCCCCAGUAAAGUCUUUUGCCUGAGCAAGCCGGGCCUUAUCGGACAGAGCCCCAUUUCAUUCCAAAAGCACUGAGGCAAGAAGAGGACCAGAGACAGAUCAUGUGCGGGUACAAAUUCCCUGUGAUGAGUGUGACCAUGGUGUAUAUCUAAACUGUACCAAUAAAGUUAAUAAUAAAACUCUUUAAAAUGUU
Cavia porcellus (domestic guinea pig) is the source of this 632-nucleotide long non-coding RNA. RefSeq lists it as uncharacterized. The transcript is spliced from 4 exons. Lineage: Eukaryota; Metazoa; Chordata; Mammalia; Rodentia; Caviidae. The record is from RefSeq and is a predicted model, not a curated record.